RNAcentral lists this ribosomal RNA (915 nucleotides) under uncultured bacterium. RNAcentral's name for it is "bacterial SSU rRNA". It matches the Rfam family "Bacterial small subunit ribosomal RNA", at positions 29 to 946 of the family's 1533-position model. The record is from RNAcentral.
AUGAACGCUAGCGGCAGGCCUAACACAUGCAAGUCGAGGGGUAUAGUUCUUCGGAACUAGAGACCGGCGCACGGGUGCGUAACGCGUAUGCAAUCUACCUUUUACAGGGGAAUAGCCCAGAGAAAUUUGGAUUAAUGCCCCAUAGUAUAUAAACUUCGCAUGUUGUUUAUAUUAAAGUUCCAACGGUAAAAGAUGAGCAUGCGUCCCAUUAGUUAGUUGGUAAGGUAACGGCUUACCAAGACGAUGAUGGGUAGGGGUCCUGAGAGGGAGAUCCCCCACACUGGUACUGAGACACGGACCAGACUCCUACGGGAGGCAGCAGUGAGGAAUAUUGGUCAAUGGGCGCAAGCCUGAACCAGCCAUGCCGCGUGCAGGAAGAAGCAUCUAUGGUGUGUAAACUGCUUUUGUACGGGAAGAAACACUCCCUCGUGAGGGAGCUUGACGGUACCGUAAGAAUAAGGAUCGGCUAACUCCGUGCCAGCAGCCGCGGUAAUACGGAGGAUCCAAGCGUUAUCCGGAAUCAUUGGGUUUAAAGGGUCCGUAGGCGGUUUAAUAAGUCAGUGGUGAAAUCUGGUCGCUCAACGAUCAAACGGCCAUUGAUACUGUUAGACUUGAAUUACAAGGAAGUAACUAGAAUAUGUAGUGUAGCGGUGAAAUGCUUAGAUAUUACAUGGAAUACCAAUUGCGAAGGCAGGUUACUACUUGUGGAUUGACGCUGAUGGACGAAAGCGUGGGGAGCGAACAGGAUUAGAUACCCUGGUAGUCCACGCCCGUAAACGAUGGAUACUAGCUGUUGGGGGGCACCUUCAGUGGCUAAGCGAAAGUUGAUAAGUAUCCCAUCUGGGGGAGUACGUUCGCAAGAAUGAAACUCAAAGGAAUUGACGGGGGCCCGCACAACCGGUGGAGCAUGUGGUU